This 376-nucleotide ribosomal RNA is filed under the name uncultured bacterium. RNAcentral describes it as "bacterial SSU rRNA". It matches the Rfam family "Bacterial small subunit ribosomal RNA", at positions 521 to 896 of the family's 1533-position model. The record is from RNAcentral.
UAAUACGAAGGGGGCUAGCGUUGCUCGGAAUGACUGGGCGUAAAGGGCGCGUAGGCGGCUUGUUUAGUCAGGCGUGAAAUUCCUGGGCUUAACCUGGGGGCUGCGCUUGAUACAGGCAGGCUUGAGUGCGGAAGAGGGUCGUGGAAUUCCCAGUGUAGAGGUGAAAUUCGUAGAUAUUGGGAAGAACACCGGUGGCGAAGGCGGCGACCUGGUCCGUGACUGACGCUGAGGCGCGAAAGCGUGGGGAGCAAACAGGAUUAGAUACCCUGGUAGUCCACGCUGUAAACGAUGUGUGCUGGAUGUUGGGCGGCCUAGCCGUUCAGUGUCGUAGCUAACGCGGUAAGCACACCGCCUGGGGAGUACGGCCGCAAGGUUG